UGCAAGAUGAUGAGAUUUGUAUUACUGAAUUUGAUGUGGAAUUCCAUACCAAACUGGUCUUCAAAGUUCUCUGAUUGCU
This 79-nucleotide small nucleolar RNA is filed under the name Prunus dulcis (almond). RNAcentral's name for it is "sRNA ncRNA". It matches the Rfam family "Small nucleolar RNA R160". Rfam says of the family: snoR160 is a C/D box small nucleolar RNA, which acts as a methylation guide for 25S ribosomal RNA in plants. snoR160 has been alternatively named snoZ270 in rice. Lineage: Eukaryota; Viridiplantae; Streptophyta; Magnoliopsida; Rosales; Rosaceae. The record is from Rfam by way of RNAcentral. RNAcentral also lists the same sequence under 1 other name.